GACGAACGCUGGCGGCGUGCUUAACACAUGCAAGUCGAACGCUGAAGCUUGGUGCUUGCACUGGGUGGAUGAGUGGCGAACGGGUGAGUACUACGUGAGUAACCUGCCCUUGACUCUGGGAUAAGCCUGGGAAACUGGGUCUAAUACUGGAUAUGACAUGCCACUGCAUGGUGGUGUGUGGAAAGGGUUUUACUGGUUUUGGAUGGGCUCACGGCCUAUCAGCUUGUUGGUGGGGUAAUGGCCUACCAAGGCGACGACGGGUAGCCGGCCUGAGAGGGUGACCGGCCACACUGGGACUGAGACACGGCCCAGACUCCUACGGGAGGCAGCAGUGGGGAAUAUUGCACAAUGGGCGGAAGCCUGAUGCAGCGACGCCGCGUGAGGGAUGACGGCCUUCGGGUUGUAAACCUCUUUCAGCACGGAAGAAGCGAGAGUGACGGUACGUGCAGAAGAAGCGCCGGCUAACUACGUG
This 472-nucleotide ribosomal RNA is filed under the name uncultured bacterium. RNAcentral describes it as "partial 16S ribosomal RNA". It matches the Rfam family "Bacterial small subunit ribosomal RNA", at positions 28 to 507 of the family's 1533-position model. The record is from RNAcentral.